Molecule: non-coding RNA, 112 nt
Filed under: Clostridium sp.
Lineage: Bacteria; Bacillati; Bacillota; Clostridia; Eubacteriales; Clostridiaceae
Also listed under: 1 other name
Description: TPP sequence
Rfam family: TPP riboswitch aptamer (THI element)
About the family: Vitamin B(1) in its active form thiamin pyrophosphate (TPP) is an essential coenzyme that is synthesised by coupling of pyrimidine and thiazole moieties in bacteria. The previously detected thiamin-regulatory element, thi box was extended, resulting in a new, highly conserved RNA secondary structure, the THI element, which is widely distributed in eubacteria and also occurs in some archaea.
Source: RNAcentral
AAUAAGCAACAAGGGGGCUGGUGCAAGCCGGCUGAGAUUAAGACUAUAUGCGUCUUUGACCUUAUAACCUGAUCUGGAUAAUGCCAGCGUAGGAAAGUGCAAUACAUAAAUU